This 253-nucleotide ribosomal RNA is filed under the name uncultured bacterium. RNAcentral's name for it is "partial 16S ribosomal RNA". It matches the Rfam family "Bacterial small subunit ribosomal RNA", at positions 524 to 776 of the family's 1533-position model. The record is from RNAcentral.
UACGUAGGGUGCGAGCGUUGUCCGGAAUUAUUGGGCGUAAAGAGCUUGUAGGCGGUUUGUCGCGUCUGCUGUGAAAACUCGGGGCUUAACCCCGGGCCUGCAGUGGGUACGGGCAGACUAGAGUGCGGUAGGGGAGACUGGAAUUCCUGGUGUAGCGGUGAAAUGCGCAGAUAUCAGGAGGAACACCGGUGGCGAAGGCGGGUCUCUGGGCCGUAACUGACGCUGAGGAGCGAAAGCGUGGGGAGCGAACAGG